RNAcentral lists this ribosomal RNA (282 nucleotides) under uncultured bacterium. RNAcentral describes it as "partial 16S ribosomal RNA". It matches the Rfam family "Bacterial small subunit ribosomal RNA", at positions 30 to 306 of the family's 1533-position model. The record is from RNAcentral.
AUUGAACGCUGGCGGCAUGCUUUACACAUGCAAGUCGAGCGGCAGCGCGGGGGCAACUCUGGCGGCGAGCGGCGAACGGGUGAGGAAUACAUCGGAACGUGUCCCGUAAUGGGGGAGUANCCCGGCCGAAAGCCGGAUUAAUACCGCAUAUGCUCUGCGGAGGAAAGCUGGGGAUCUGUUACAGGACCUGGCGUUAUGGGAGCGGCCGAUGUCCGAUUAGCUAGNGGUUGGGGUAAAGGCUUACCAAGGCGACGAUCGGUAGCUGGUCUGAGAGGAUGAUCA